UCUCUUGUAUAAAUAAAAGUGGAUUGUUUUUAAAAGUUACUCGUAUUUUAAGAAAAUAUUCAACAUGAAAGCUAGGCCUUUUUCCUACACAUACCUCGUUUUAUUUUGGUCCUUAUGUCAAAUAAGGUGAUUCCAUUAACCUGUAAUUUACUUUACAUUACUAAUGUAUGGUUUCUACAUUAUCUUGCAUUGCUGAGAAACAAGACAUGGGUUCAUCCGCUUCUACUUCUACAAGAAUAAUGCCACAACAUUUGAACAAGCGUAUUCUGUUUCUUAGGUAGUCUAUUGGUAGUCUUUUGAGUUUUGAGAUCAUUUGCAUUAAUUAAUACGGAGCAUACAACAAUGCAUAUUGGGCUUAUGCUAUUUUGUCUAUUUGUUCAAUAAUGCGUCAGAUUUAGAUAUACAUAUGAUUUUCUCCAUCUGUAAACAGAAAAUUUUAUGAUUAUUACAAUCCAUUACAUACAAAACCAAACUUUGCUUAUUUAUUGAACCCAGUGGUUGAUGUUAUGUAUUAUUCCAAUAUGCCAACGUUUUUGUAUGAUUAACAUUUGUCUGCUUUAUUCUUCGAAUGCAUGUUGGGCUAUGUUUGUUGGUGGUUUCAGGGUUAGUUACAAUUUAGUCUGCUUUCUUCUUCGGUUGGCAGAAAGAAGAUGUACUUCAAUCCAAUCUCUUCAUGAUCUUAUUACUUCAAAGAGGACGAUCAUGUUCAAGUAAAUUGUGCGAGCUUUGUGAAGAAAUGAGGAGGGGUAGACUUGCCAAAGAUGCUAAUUAGAGGGCUGAGCUUGCCUUUAGCAAGUACAUGCUUUAAAAGAAGCUUUGGAUGUUGAUGAUCUUGAGCUGACCAGAAGAUUUAAUGCGGUUGGUACAACUGUUUAUAUGGAGGUUAGUUACUCUUCCUGCUGGAAAACUAUGCGAGAUGUCAAUUUGCAUUUAGCGUUAGUGAUCCAUGCAGCUACACUCAACUAAAGAAGAAUGGAGACAAGCAAUAAUUGAGGAAAUAACAUCAAUAAUUGAGAAGAACAAUACAUAGAGGAUGGUUAAUUUGCAAGAAAUGGGUACAUGAGAAACAGCAAUGAGCCAACUUUAUGUGUGAAACAAGGUGACUCAACAGGACAACAACACUAAUCCUUUAUAUAUGUAUGUACCGGUUCUUGUGUAAAGAUAAUUGCAGAAUGUAACGAGGCAUGAAAGAAAUGUUUGGGACGACUGGCAUGGGGCUACUGCAAUACUUCUCGGGCAUGGAGGCAGUCAAUCAGAUCAGGCGAUUUUUGUGAGUCAAAAAAACUUUGCAAAUUCACUGCUUGAUAAGUUCUGGUUACAGAUGAUGUUCUUAAGAUUCCAUAUGAAAGAUAUUAAGCAGAAGAGGGUGAAGCCAAAGUUGAUGUAACUAUAUUUAGAAGUCUUGUUGGUGGUUCAAUCUAUUUGAGCCACACUAGACCCGAUCCUGCCUAUGCAGUUGGGGUGUUGUCUAGAUUUAUGCAGUCUCCUUCAAAGUGUCAUCUGGGUGCUGCAAAGAAAGUAUUGAAGUAUGUUGCAAGAAUAGGUUGCUUUGGUAUGGAUUAAAUUUAACUAUCCACUGAUAAUUGGCCCAUUUUUUU
Long non-coding RNA from Erigeron canadensis, 1598 nucleotides. RefSeq lists it as uncharacterized. The transcript has 4 exons. The record is from RefSeq and is a predicted model, not a curated record. NCBI's taxonomy places the organism in Eukaryota, Viridiplantae, Streptophyta, Magnoliopsida, Asterales, Asteraceae.